This 45-nucleotide non-coding RNA is filed under the name Schistosoma margrebowiei. The record is from RNAcentral. Lineage: Eukaryota; Metazoa; Platyhelminthes; Trematoda; Strigeidida; Schistosomatidae.
AUUCAGCUAACGAGUCCCAAGUAGGACUAAACGCGCAUCCUGGAU